RNAcentral lists this long non-coding RNA (939 nucleotides) under Populus trichocarpa (black cottonwood). Its description in RNAcentral is "long non-coding RNA (PTRI_LNC001375)". Lineage: Eukaryota; Viridiplantae; Streptophyta; Magnoliopsida; Malpighiales; Salicaceae. The record is from RNAcentral.
ACAAGAUUAUCUGCUUAAAAAAUCAUGAUUCUCAUUCAUUAGCAUUCCCGAAGAUAAAAUCUUUUGAGGAUCGAAGUACUUGGCCACUAACAGGUACAGUUUCAGAUAUCAUAGAGCUCAACAGAUACAACAAAGACAGUUAUCAAAGUUGACAGAAAAUUUUACAGGAAAAAGAUUCUUGACUGAUGCAAUCCUAUGACGUCUAUGAUCAACCACUAGUUAAUAGCAGCUUUGAAAGAAAGCAUCCUAGUUGAUUCACUUCGGUCACCUUCACUGGACCAAAUUAAAAGGCAUCGCAACCUCCAGCAGGUCUGUCCCCACUAGAAUGACAUAUUUUCUGUGAUUUUGUACCUGGGCUGUAUAAAUAUACAACUACAGUCACCCUGCAGUGAGAAGGCAGUAACUGAUCAACCACUAAUAUAUAGUGUGUGUCAUAAAAGUUCGGUGAAACAGCACUAACAAAGCAAAUGGAGGAAGAAAGGAAAAACAAGCUGAGUACUUUUUCAGAAGAAGAAGAAAACGACGAUGAGGACGAGAGAAUUGAGAAGUUCUUCGCGAUAAUAAGAAGGCUUAGAGAUGCUCGCAUGUAUUCGAGAACCUGUUUGCGAGAACAGGAGGCAUGUAAGAUAGCAAAGAAGGCAAAGAAAGCCCACGCACCUGUAUGGACUCCAAAGUUUCAACUGGAAGAUUUUGAGGAGCCAGGGUUGGAAUCCACUCGCAUAUCUCAACCAAGUUCCUCAAAUAAGGAAUGUGGAAAGGAGAAGAAAGAAGAACUAGAUCUGAACCUUACCUUGUAUUGACUGUGGAGGUCAAAUACAGUGCAUGGGAUAUGAUAUGCUUCAGAGUAGUAUUUUCAAGAUGCAUGAAACAUGUGAUGCAGCAGAGUUAGAGCAGUAGUGUGUGUUGAAUAAAAGGUUGCAUGUAUGUUCAGUUGGGUCG